This 17840-nucleotide long non-coding RNA is filed under the name Gossypium barbadense (sea-island cotton). Its description in RNAcentral is "long non-coding RNA (GBAR_LNC001565)". Lineage: Eukaryota; Viridiplantae; Streptophyta; Magnoliopsida; Malvales; Malvaceae. The record is from RNAcentral.
UUAAACAUAUUUAAAUUGUUUUUAAUAGCUUUAAGUAAUUUUUUUGAGAAAUACGGUCCAUUUUGAUUCAACUGGACUUGGAAGUCCAAAACAAGUAACAAACAAAACCCAAACACAAUAAAUGUUAAGACAAAACCCAAACCAAACAAAAGCAAAACAUCACCCAACAAAAAGUCAAAUAGGAAAACAAAUUAGAGACAGUAAAGUAACAAAGGAAAGCACAAAAACACAUCUAGAAGCUUCUUCCAAACCCUUCAGUGACCAGCAACCCAAAACGGCCAAAAACCUUACCAAGAUUGGCAAUCGGAGCCACCAACUAGAGGAAUAGAGUUGAGAUUCAACGCUUAGAGUGACAAACAUUCUCAACUGAGAACUUCGAACAGAUAGGGAGGCAACUACAGCGGUUGGUGGAAACGACGAUUUAGAUCAGUCAGUUCCAAAACCCGAAGCAGAGCAUCCUCUACCCAAAAGGAAUCCUCCGAGCGCUUCAUUCCAUUAGGUACCAUCGCAUACACUGUUGUAUUUCCUUCUUUAGCGACAAAUUCGAAAUGACAAGAUGUGAAACCCCUCACUAGAUUCUUUACAUCCUGUUUCAUUAUCAAAAUUUAAGUAGAAGAAAAUUGGGAGAGAAGAAGAAGAACAGAGAAGAAGAGAGAAUUUUGAAUUAAGAAGAGAGAAUUCUGAAUUAUUUGUGUACUUUGCAUAACUAUUUUUCUGCAUACAUCUCAGACUUAAAAAGGAAAAUAACAGAAAAAGAAUGUGGGUUCAUUCUGUUACCAUCAAAAUGCUCUGUUUCACUAAUUCUUUACGCACCGUUUUGUUUAAUUGCAACUAACCACUUAAACUGACAUUUUACCCUCCUUAUUUCUAUUUAAUAUUCUAGCCCAUAACAUACUGCCUCCUAGAAAAAAAUCCUUGUCCUCAAGGAUGAAAGUGAGGAAAAUUGGCCUGAAGUAGGUGGAGAUGUUCCCAAGUAGCAUCUUCAGGAAAAGAAUCAAUCCAUUCAACUAGAACUUCUGUAACAGAUGUGCUCCCUCUUUUGACUAUCCUUCUAUCCACAAUUCGGACUGGCUCUUUCUCCAUUGUACCGUAAGCAUCAACCAAUAAUAUGAGCUCCCUCUUUAGGAAUGAAGGCAACGAAAAAGUAGCCUUAUGCAUCUCAGAGUUGUAAUAUCUAAGUUCUCUCUUAUGCUGAUGAGCUCCUUCUAACUUUUCAAUAGGGUUAAUGGGAUUCAAAAAAUCAACUGCUGGCCCCUCUGUUGAGCAUAUCAAAAAACCAAUCACAGCACUUGGAUAUGUUGGAACACUCGCCCAUGCACAAUGAAUAGAACCUUUGAAUAUUUCACGGAAAAUAGAGAUCAUAUCAUCAAUUAGAUGUGUAUGAAGCCACACACUCUCUUCCAUGUUACAUAGGACACCGCUAGGCCUUAAAGCUCUAGCUAACGUAUCAAAAAAUGGUUUCUCUACAAGCUCUUGAGCAGGACCUACAAGAUCUGAUGAAUCAACAAUGAUUGCAUCAUACGUCCCUUCUGGAACAUUACGAAGAAACUCAACAGCAUCACCAACAUGAAAACAAACACGGGAGUUUUCAAAUCCAGUAGCCAGUUCUGGAAAAAAACUUCUUAGAAACCUCUAUAACCAUCCUAUCUAUUAUCAAUGUGCUUAGCAGAGCUGUGCUGAGAAAUCUCUGUAAGAACCCCACCAUCACCACCUCCCACAACCAGAACAGUUUUGGGAGAUGGAACUGAGCAAAGGGGAAGAUGAGUUAUCAUCUCCCGAUAUGCAAAUACAUCCUUCUUAUUCAGCUGAACUAUACCAUCAAGAACAAGCACCUUCCCGUAGCUUGAUGACUAAAAAAUAAGAACCUCUUGAUAGUUUGACCUUGCUUUGUACAAAUUACUUUCAACUUUCAGAGAAUGUGCUUCUUCUUAUUGUUUCAAAUUCACCAGCUCUUUCAUGGGGUUGCCAAACUGUCCAAACCCAAAACGAUCCUGUAGACUCUUCAUGUAGGCUGGCCAUGACAACAUUUGAAGAUCAACAUUAUGUUGGGAAUAAAAUUGAUGCCAUUCCAGUGCUCGUCCCUCCAAAUUUAGCAUAACCGUGCAAAUCUUGUUAGAUUCUGGUGUACCCUCAGCUUCAAACUACUGUUCCAAUUUAGUCCACCAUCCUCUAAAAUCACUGCAAUCGAACCUAGGACAUUCAAUCCUACUUGUCUUUGCCGACGCGCCACCCAUAUAUGACUGAUUCUAUCGGUACACACUACUUGCCUCUGUCAGUUUAGGAUCCACUAGCGCCUGUGGAAACUUUGUCUCUUUAGGUAAAAACUCAAGGGAAGCACCUAAGACUCCUUUUCCCUUGUCUGUGGCACCGUUACCAAGAGAUCCAGUUGGUGGAGGACCAAAAUGUUGGCCCAGCAACGCCUGUAAGUCCCCACGAAACUCCUCCUUAAACUCCUGAAAUUUGGUGUCCAUCUUAGCUUCUAAAUGAAACAUCGCUUCUUGUAGUUUGAAAAUUUCUUGUUGCAUGCUGCCCACCUCCUUCUGUAAUCGAGUUAAAACACCAUCGUUGGCCAUUGUAGGGAUUGAAAAAGCUCUGAUAACUUUGUUGCGUUAUUAAAAUUUAAGUAGAAGAAAAUUAAGAGAGAAGAAGAAGAACAGAGAGGAAGAGAGAAUUCUAAAUUAAGAAGAGAAAAUUCUGAAUUAUCUGUGUACUUUGCAAAAUUAUUUUUCUGUAUACAUCUCAAACUUAAAAAGGAAAAUAACAGCAAAAGAAUGUGGGUUCAUUCUGUUACCAUCAAACACUCUGUUUCACUAAUUCUCUACGCACCGUUUUGUUUAAUUGCAACUAACCGCUUAAACUGACAUUUUACCCUCCUUAUUUCUACUUAAUAUUCUAGCCCAUAACACAUCCCAGGUAAUCGGUCUCAUCUCUAAAUAAUCCUUCAUAGAUGCUUGGAGAUUCCUAAUAACCAUUUUUGAAUUACUUUUUGGGAUUACUCUCAAGAAACCCAUAUCCCUCAUGAACUGAAGACCAUGCAAAACAACCACUUUUUCGACUAACACCACCUUCUUAACAAGGUUAUGCAUUUUGAAUCUCAAACCCAUUAAAUUUCCAUCAUCAUUCCUAAUUAGAAACCCUAAUACUACGUGAUGAUUUGCCUCAAAAAACCCAGUGUUCACAUUCACUUUGACCCAAUUCAUAGGCAGUGGCUCCCAUUUAAUCAAGACUCGAGGUUUGGGAUGCUUCAAUAUACCAGUCAUCUCCCUAUAAUCCCUACCCUAUCCCUGAAUAAAGGUAAUAACCUCCUUCGCACUUCGUGUUUUUCUAUCAUUAAGUAACUUGUUGUGGGCAAACUAGAUUGCCCAUAUUGUAAUGGCGAUUUCCUCUUUAGUAUUACUGGCAGAAUUUACGAAUAACCAAUUUAACCAUUCGUUAAAAUUCAAAUCCGCAACAUAACUUGGCCAUCGAUAAUUAAACUUUGACCAUACUUGCAUAGAAAACGUGCAGUCUCGCACAACAUGAACAGUCGAUUCACUACAAUUUCGACAGCGUGUGCAAUUAUUUUCGUGCAAAAUUCUUCUAAAAUGAAAAUUGUUAGCCAAUCUCCAUAGUAAAAUGCGAAUUUUUUCAAAGCACAUUACACUCCAAAUUUGCUUAAAAUUAAACUGCUCCAAAUUACUCAAACUCUAAAAGGGCUUUAUAACCAGUUUUGACAAAAUAAGUACCCGAAUUUUCUCUAAUCCAAACCGCUUUAUCGAAUUGAUUUGUAGUAGGGAGAGGGAUACUUACAAUCUUAUUUCCUUCUUCCACCAGAAAUGUUGAAUAGAUUAGUUGUCUAUCCCAUCAAUUUGGAUUUAGGAUAAUCAAAUAAUUCAAAUACUCCAAUCCCUCAACUCUACUCGAACUAACUUGUGCUCCACUCCUUCCCAGUAGCUAAUUAUCCUCCCAUAUCAAAAUUGAUAACCUUUAACCAAUCCUCCACCCAAGACCAGAUUUUAGCAGAUCUUUGGAACACCAUAUACUUCUCCAAAUCAGAGAUGGGUUAAAACCCAAUGGGGCAUCUAAAAAGUUAGACCUAUAUAAUACUUUACUCGAAGUAAUCUGGCUGUUAAAAAGUCUGGAGUUUCUAUCAGUUGCCAUCCUUGCUUUAAUAAUAAAUUAAAUUUCGGAAACCCAUACAUCUAUCCCCUUUUAGAAUACAGUGAGUUCCAAGAACACCAAUGUAAACCCUUUCAUCUAGUUUUAUUUUGUCACCAAAAUCUAGCAAUAACCACUUCAAGUUAUUUACAAAAAGAAUUGGGUAGUAAAAAAUAAGACAUUGCAAACAUGGGGAUUGCCUGAAACACUUGUAAUACCCUUAACCCGUCUCUAUUACCGAAUUAGAGUUACGAGUGUUAUUGAGAAGAAUAGAACAUUUCACUUCAUUUUAGAACAAUUAUACAAAUAAUUUAUAACAUAUAACAAAUAGACUAAUUCAUGAUAUAAAUACACCUAUGGGCCUUAAAAUGGGCUUACGAGGCCUUAAAAACAGUUUGAGGAUGAUCUAGGAUCAAAUCGAAACAAAAUAGAAAAUUUUAGAAAAAAUUAAAAUUUUCAAAAUAGAUGUCACACGACUGUGUGACUAAGCCAAGACCGUGUGAACAUUCGAAGUCUGGACACAAAGUCGUGUCCUAGCUCGUGUGUUCGCCUGUGUGAAUAUUCAAAAUAGGGUCAUACGACUGUGUCACAAGUCAUGUGCCAAAUCGUGUGUGAAUUCGAAGUUGGGUCACACGGUUGUGUCGCAGGUCGUGUAACAAUCUGUUUUGGCUCACACGGUUAUGUCACGGACCAUGUGCAAGGUCAUGUGGAUAUUUCACUUAAAAUCAAUAAUUACACAUUGUCGUGCAUGGUGACAGUGUGUGGCACACAGUCGUGUGACAACUCGUGUCCUAGGCCGUGUGCACCAUUUUUUACCAGUAAACCAAGCAAUCUCAUACACCAUUCCUUGCACAGCAAGACAUACCAUAUCUAUAUCAAUUUUUAGGUUCAAAAACACAUUCAAAUCAUCAAUUACAUGCUAAAAUUUCAUCCAUAUUGCCUAACCAAUAUGUCAUUCAAAGGCAUCGCAAUUAAAGAUUAUUAAUUCAAAUAACCAAAAGAACACAUGACAUUUACCACCUAUUCAUAAUUAAUCUUCAACCAAAAUGACACAAACAUGAGCACUUUCAUCAAGUUAUCAUUAUAGGCAUCAUGACCUAAAUCAUAGUCUUAAGGCUUAUAACCUAAGUAUAUUAAAUACAUACCUUCAAAAUAACCAUUUCACUAACAUAACCUUUAUAGAAUAACAUUUACAUAUUCACAACAAAACACCUAUAUAUAUACAUGCCACAUCCCAAAAUGAAAUAUAACAACUACUAAAUAGUUGGAUAAUGUGGGCUUUUUCUGAUCCGUCUAGUCAGUCCACAACUUAGACAACUACAAAAGAUUAUAAAUGGAACAAGUAAGUUUAAGAAGCUUAGUAAGUUCAUAGUUUAAGUCAUCAAACUAAACCUACCUUAAUUGUCAUAAAAAAUAUAAAGAGAUAACAUACAAUUUCUGAUAGCCAAAUACACAUUCACAAAUCUCAUUAGUUCAUGAUCACAUAUUAACGUAUAACAUGAUAAUCCUCAUCACAAAUAACUUAUCAAUUCCAUAAUUAGCAUAUCAUCAAUAUAAAUAUGCUCAUAUAUAAACAAAUAUUUCAUUGAACAUUUAACACUUUUAAAUAUCUUCAAUAUGCAUUAACAUUUAAAUCCACAAGUCAACUAUACAUUAACAUUUAGCCUGAUGAACUAAGUAACUCGACUCAGGUAACUACACCACACCAGAGGCAUUAUAGAUGUAUAACAAAGGCAUCGAAGUGCAGACAGAGGCACAAAUGUGCGAUCAGAGGCAUCGAAGUGCAAACAGAGGCACCAGAGUGCAAAUCCCAUACAAACGCACAUAGUAACCUUAUUGGCAUGUCAAUCGUAUCCUACACAAUUGCUAAGUUUGACCGGGCAAAAACCAAAAUUCUAUUUCUAUUAUAUCAAUUCAGAGGCACUUCGUUAUUUUUCAUACACAUAUGGUAUUUUAAUUAUAAACACUUUCAUAAUAAGAAAUCAUCAAGAUACCACCAUCAAUCGUAUAUUUCCAUACAUAUUUAGUUGUAUAUUGCAACCAUAUAUCCCUAUCUAUUGAAUUUUCACAAGAUUGAUAAUUAAUCACAAGAAACAUAUAUUUUCAUAUUGAAAUACUAUGAACGUACCUACGGUCACUCCCAAUUUCACAGUAGGGACUACUCUAUAAUUUUUCUUUUUUCACGAUUAUUAUCUUUUUUAUUCAAGUCUUGAUAUAAAAUAAUAAGUAAAUAUCCUCUAUUAAUUUAACAUACAAUUCAUGCUUAAUAUAAUGCAUAUGACCUUUAAUUUUUUAUUAAUUACACAAUUUCUCUAAACGUUUACAUCAUUUACAAUUUAGUCCCUACCUUCAAAAUACAAAAAUUAACAAAACUUUAUAACAUAACUUGCUAGUCGAAUUUUUACCCUACCAUAUUUAGCCCACAUUUAUUCUAAAUUCAAAAAAAUUCCCUAUCAAUUCUAACAUUUAACCAAUUUAAUCCUUUACUCAAAAAUAACACAAACUACUUUAUAAAAUACUCAUAAUCAACAACAAAUAACUCAAAUCUAUUAUUUAACAUCAUGAACAUCAAGAACUUACCAAUGGUAACAUCUAAAAUCUUUAACAGUUUCAAAAACGGAUGUCUGGGUUAGCUGGACCUAGUUGUAAUGUUCACAAAAACAUAAAAAUUACAAAAAAUGGUAUAAAAAUUAGUCACAUGCAUACAUCAAAUGCUUGGUCGAACCCUAAGAUUCAUAAAAUGGUGUUUAUCCCUUUUCAAUUUCGGCUGACCACUUGUGGAAGAUGAUGAUUCAAGUUUUUUUAUUAUUUUACUUAAAAUUUCAUUUAUUAAAUCACGAAUUUGCCCUCAAUCAUAAUCUUACAAUUUCAUUUUAAAAAGGCCACUAACCAUCUAUUUACAUCUCUAAUGGACUAAUCGCAUCAUAAAUCUUCUUUCUUUGAAUAACUAAGCUAUUAAAUUAAUUUAAUUCAAUAAUUACUAACUUUUGUGACUUUUACAGUCUAAUCCUUUUCUUCAAUUAACUAACGUUAAAAUUUAUUUUCCAAAAAUUUAAUGACUCUAAAUGUGACUCCACAAAUAUUACUUAAACAAUAAAAAAAUUCACAUAUCAGAAUUGUGGUACUGAAUCCACUGUUUCUAGCACCAUUGAAAAAUGGGAUAUUACAACUCACCCUAAAAAAAUUUUCAUCCUCAAAAAUCUUACCAGAGAAAAGGUUCGAAUAUUAAUUUUUCAUAAUUUCUUUUGUCUCCAAUUAGCUUUCUCUAUUCCAUGUCGUCUCCAAAUAACUUUAACUAACGGCAUAGAUUUAUUUCUCAAUUCUUUAAUUUCCUGAGCUAGAAUCUUUAUCAGUUCCUCAUCAUAAGUUAGAUCAGUCUAUAACUCAAUUUCAUCUGUAGUCAAAACAUGUGACGGAUCCGAACGAUAACGUCGAAGCAACGAAACGUGAAAAAUAUUAUGAAUUUUAUCAAGUUUCGGAGGUAAUGCUGAGCGAUACGCUACAGCUCCGAUUCUUUCUAGCACUUUGUACAGUCCAAUAAAUCUGGGAUUGAGGUUUCCUUUUCUACCAAAACGUAACACUUUCUUCCAGGGCGAGACAUUCAGAAACACUUUCUCACCAAUAGAAAAUUCCAUAUUUUUAUGUUUCAAAUUAGUAUAAUAUUUCUGAUGAUUAGAUGUAGCUUUCAAAUUAUCUCUGAUAACUCAAACUUUUUCUGUAGUUUCCUUAACUAAAUCAACCCCAGCUAAUUUUCUUUUAUUCAAUUUAGACCAAUAUAACAGAUUUCUACAUUUAUGCCUGUAUAAAGUCUCGUACGGAGCCACCUUUAUGCUCGAGUGAUAAUUUUUAUUAUACGGUAACUCGGCUAACGACAAAUAAUUUUCCCAUCUAUAUUCAAACUCAAUAACACAACACUGUAACAUAUCUUUUAAAAUUUGUAUUAUUCGCUUAGACUGGUCAUUUGUUUACGGAUGAAAAGUAGUACUAAAAUUCAACCUUGAAUCGAGAGCAUUAUGUAAUUUAGCCUAAAAUCGAGAAGAAAACUACGAGUCACGAUCGGAUAUAGUCAACAGUGGUACACUAUGCAAUCUCACUGUAACAGCCCGUUUUUGGUUAAAUCGGAACAGUGAUUUCAGGACCACAAAUUCGAGGUUGAAAUAUUUAUUUUAUUAUUAUUUUAAUGUUUACAACAUGACUAUGUGAUUGUGUGAAAGUUUCAUUUAGAAAUUUUAUCGUUUGGUUGGUCAAUUCGAUAAAAAAACUAAAUCGCGUAAAAUGCAAAAAUAUUGUUCUAAUAGUUAAAGAUAUCUAUUAGCUAUAAAACCUUAAAUUUAAGGUCUUAAAGUGAUAAUUAACCCAUUAGUGAGUUAAUGGAUGAUAAUGGUUUGGCAUGUAGUGAAAUAACAAAUAUUCAUUAAGGGUACAUUUGUAAUUUGGUAAUUAAACAUAAAGUAAAUAAAACAAAAUGAUAAAAUAGUGUCCAUCUUUCAUCUAGCCGAAAAUUUGAAGAAGAAAAAGCUAUGGAAAUAGCUUGAAAGUUUUGUUCAUUGUUCUUGCUUAAUUGUAAGUCAUUUUUUACUCCGUCUUUAAUGAUUUUUACAUUUUUAGGAUUGUUGCAGCUAGGUCUAGCUAGACCAGGGGCUAUUUUUCAAAACUGUUAAAGAUUUUGAAAGCUGUCAUUGAUGAAUAUGUAUUAUUUUUUAUGUUUGAUGAUAGAUUAUUAAUAUUUAUUAUGAAUUAUACAAGUUUUGUAAAGUGAUUUUCAGUAAAAAUGCAAAAUAGGGAUUAAAUUGAUAAAUAUGUAAAGUUAGUGGUUAAAAUGUGAAAUAAAUAAAGAAAUAUGGGCUGCUAGGGGCAUAAUAGUAAUUUGGAUAGCAUGGGUUUAUUGUGAAUUUCAUUAAUUUAUGAUUUUAUGAAAUAAGGACUAAAUUGUGAAAAAUGUGAAAUAUUAGGGGCAAAAGUGUAAAUGUGUUUUAAAGUGUGUUUUAGAUUAAAUUGAAUAGAGAGAUGAUUAAAUAAGUUAAUUUUAAUUAUAUUUAGAUCAAAAUAGGAGAAAUACGGACUUGGAUUAGGGAAAAGAUAAAGUUAUCGACUAAUCGACUCAUUUCGUUGUUUACACAUCCAAGGUAAGUUCGUAUGUGAUAAAUUUCAAUACAAAUGUAUUCCACGUGCUUUGAUAUUGUAUAAAUUGCAAAUAGGAGACUGAGGAUAUGAACGAUAGUGCUUCGACGACGAUUCGACAUUCGAAAUACAGGUUAAACCUUAGGAAUAGUUUAGGAUACUAGUGACAUGUCAUUAAGGGAUUUAUUGAGUGUGAUAUAGCACUUUUGGUGUGAGAUAUACUGAUUUGGCUUCGGGCCGUGCAUAUCGGCUGAUUUGGCUUCGGGCCAUGAUAUCAGUAUUUUGGAUAAUUUACCUUGAUUUGGCUACGGGCCAUGGUAUAGGUACUUAUCGUGUGAGACCCUUGAGUAUCCGACUUCUAUUCCAAAUGGUUUAACGGGUAAAUAAAAGAUAAGAAUGGUAUAAGAUCGUUAAGAGACGGUAUAAGUAUGUGUAUCUACCAUAUUAGCUAUGAAUCGAAGAAAUGUUGAAGAUAGUAUAUAACUUUGUGAAUGAGAAAUGGAAAGGUUUGUUAGUUGAUGUAAAUACAUGUAUCUAUAUUCAAUUCUUGAAUUAUAUGUUUAUGAUUAUUAUCGAAUUUAUUUCAUACGAGCUUACUAAGUUUUAAAGCUUUCUUUGUUUAUUUUUCCUGUGUUUUAUAGUGUUAUCAAAGCUAGCUCGGAUUAGGGGAUUACCUGAGAUCGCUUCACACUAUCUGUCCAUCUUUUGGUAUCGAUGAAUUUUGGUAUUUUUAGUAUAUAGCAUGUAUAGGAACUUGGUAUUUUUGGUAUUGGUGGUGUUAUGAAUUUGGCCAUUUGUGUUGGCUUAUAAAAGUUGUGUUUAUAAUGUUGUAUAUGGUUAUGUAAGUUGACUUAUUUGGCUUGGUUGGUGAUAUAUGUAUAUAGGUAUGCUAAUGCCAUUUUGUGAUGUGGUUUAUAUUGCUUGUGGAAGGGUUAAUUGUGGAUUAUUAGUUGGAGUAGCUAUUGGUUGAAUUUGAGAUUUGGUAUGCUUGUGGUUCUAGGUAAAUGAAUGGUUGAAAUGUCUGAGAGUAUAGAUCAAAUAAUGAAUAUUUGUUAAUGGUCAUUUUGUUGAUUUGGGAAGAUAAAGUUUGUUAUGAAUUUUGGAAGGCAUAAUGUGGUAGUUAUGUUUUGUAUUGAUUGGUGUUUGAAAUGGUAUACGUUAUGCUUGAUUUGGAAUUGAAAUAUAUGCUUAUUGAUGCUAUGUUAUGUGCCAUAUUAGUUGUGUAGGUGUGCCUAAGUUUGGGUGGCAAAUUGGUUUGGUAAAUAGCCUAUUUUUUUCCAUACGGAUAGAGACAGGGGCUUAUGUCUCAACCGUGUGUGGCACACGGUCAAGGACAUGGUUGUGUGUCCUCUAGUGUUGAUUUUGAAAUCAAAUCAGUAUGCUCCACACGGCCUCACACACGGGCGUGUGACUUGGUCGUGUGGCAUAAGUCAGUAUACCUAUAGGUUUGGCAUGGCCUAGCACAUGGCCUGGCACACGGGCGUGUGUGUUGGCCAUGUGACCCAAGUUAGAAAGUUACACAGGGUUGGACACAGGCUAGUACACGGCCAUGUGCUCUUAUUUCGAAUGUUCACACGACCUCCCUAGGCUUGUGUCUCCUGUUUUAAGGAAAAAAUUAAAAGUUUCGUGAAAGUUUCUUAAGUUAUUAGUUUAGUUCCGAACCACUCCCAAAGUAUUUUUAGAGCCUCAUAGGCUCGUAUUAGAGACUAAUUGAUUGAGAUUGAAUAAUGAAUCCUUGAAUUGAGAAAAUGUGUGCUAAAUGGAUGUUUAUUUGUUUUGUAAGUCUAAUAAUACUCCGUAAUACUAUUCCAACAUUGAAUACGAGUGAAAUGUGUUAUAUUUAUUGGUAUCAGAGCUACGAUUUAGUCGAUUCUAGAACUAACAUAGCGUGAGUGAGAGUCUAGGUAUACAUGCCAUAUAUAUAAACUGUGAUAGUGUGAUGACUCUUGACAUUUUAAAAUGUAUUUUCAUAUAGUAAAUGGAUGUUAAUCGAGCUUUAGCUGAUGAGGUUGAGAAUAAUGCGUUAGCUCUUGUUCAAGGGACAGCGCCGUCUGAUUCUAGACCCAUAUCGGGUAGCUAGGGAGAAGAGGCUAAAGAAGCCUUCUUCCAAAUGAUGAACGAAUGGUUCACACAAUAUAUUCGAAUGAACCUGGCUGCUCAACAACCUUCACCCUUUCCUAAUCCCCAACCGAUUCUCGUAGCUCCUCAAGGAGUUAAGCUUUUAAGAUUAAAUAAGCUUCUAUUUGAUAAGAUCUGUGAACACUAGACUUAAGAGUUUAAAGCUAAUGUUGAUGAUGAUCCUGAGAGAGCUGAGUUUUGACUUGAAAAUACAAUUCGGGUGUUUGAUAAGCUUUCUUGCAUACCUGCUGAAGGUUUAAAAUGUGUUAUAUCACUUCUGAGAGACAUCGCAUACCAAUGGUGGAAUACAUUAGUAUCAGUGGUGCUGAGAGAGAGGGUCACCUGGAAGUUCUUUUAGACCGAGUUCAGGAAGAAAUACAUAAGUCAACGAUUUUUGGAUCAAAAGCACAAAGAGUUUUUAGAACUAAAACAAGAUAGUAUAACUGUAACCGUGUACGAAAGAAAAUUUGUGAGAUUGAGUAAAUAUGCUUGAGAGUAUGUUUCUACUGAAGAGAUUAUGUACAAGCGGUUUGUUGACGGGUUGAAUGAAGAUAUUAAACUUCUGGUCGGGAUUCUAGAUUUGAAGGAAUUUGUUGUAUUGGUUGAUUAGGCUUGUAAAGCCAGAGAUUAUAGCGAGAAAAGAAGAAAGCUGAUUCAGAGGCUAGAGAUUCGAAAAAAGACUGAUGAGUAAACCUUACCAUUCUUCAUCAAAGAAAUUUCGAGAUUUGUAUAGUCGAUCAAAUGCAUCAGUGGGAUAUCAUAAUAGGGAUCGUGGAAAUCAACAUGUGAAUCCUAAAGCUCAAACUACUUCUGUCUCGAGCGUUGGCAGUGUAAGAAAUAUCAAACCCAAGUGUCAACAGUGUGAGAGACGUCAUUUUGGAGAGUGUUGGAAUAAGAAUGUUAAAGUUUGUUUUAAAUGUGGCUCACCAGAUCAUUUUAUUCGAGAUUGCCCAGAGUUAUUUGAGAAAAAUAAAUUUUAGUAUGCAAGAUCGAGUAAUAUGAUUGCGAGAGGGAGACCAUCGAGAAAUACAGGGAAUGUGUCCAGUGGUAGAUGUGUGACUAGGAAUUCUACUGUGAGAUCUGAAGCUAGAGCACCAUCCAGAGCUUACUCUAUUCGCACCCACGAAGAAGCGUUGUCGCCAGAUGUUAUCACCGGUACAUUUUCUCUUUACGACACUAAUGUGAUUUCUUUAAUUGAUCAUAGAUCGACAUAUUCGUAUGUUUGUGAGAAUUUAGUAUCUAGUAAGAAAUUGCCUAUUGAGUCUAUAGAAUUUGUAAUUAAAGUAUCAAACCCCUUAGGCAAGUAUGUUCUAGUUGACAAAGUAUGCAAGAACUAUCCUUUAAUGACUCGGGGUUACUGUUUUCUAGCUGACUUGAUACUUUUACCAUUUGAUGAGUUCGAUGUGAUUCUGGGUAUGAAUUAGUUGACUCUGCACUAUGCCAUUGUGAACUGUAGACUAAAGGUUAUAGAAUUGAAAUGUCAGAAUACUGAAAUUCUUUGGAUUGAAUCUGAUGAGCUGGGUGGAUUGUUUAUAGUGAUUUCAUCGAUGUUGGAUCAAAGAUAUGUGAAAAAAUGUUACGAUACGUACCUAGCAUAUGUUUUAGAUACCAAAGUGUCUGAAAAGAAAAUUGAAUCAGUGUUUGUAGUUUACGAAUAUCAGGAACUUCACCGAUAUCUAUAGCUCCGUACAGAAUAGCUCCGACUAAGUUAAAAGAUCUGAAAGCUCAGUUGCAAGAGUUAAUAGAUAGAGGUUUUGCACGACCGAAUUUUUUGCCAAGGGGUGCGUUAGUAUUGUUCGCAAAGAAGAAAGAUAGGUCAAUGAGAAUGUGUAUAGACUAUCGUCAAUUCAAUAAGGUUACGAUAAAGAAUAGGUAUCCGUUACCGAGAAUAGAUGAUUCAUUUGGUCAGUUGAAAGGUGCAACAGUGUUUUUAAAGAUUGAUUUAAGAUUUGGCUAUUAUCAGUUACGGGUUAAAGACUCGGAUGUACCGAAAAUUAUGUUUGGAAUGAGGUGCAGACAUUAUGAUUUCCUUGUUAUGCCUUUUGGACUAACCAAUGCUCCUGCCAUUUUUAUGGAUUUAAUGAAUCGGAUCUUUAGAUCGUAUUUAGAAAGAUUUGUUGUUGUGUUCAUUGACGACAUUCUAAUCUAUUCACGAGAUGACUCUGAGCAUGCUGAGCAUUUGAGGAUUGCGUUGCAAACCUUGAAAGAUAAACAACUGUAUGCUAAAUUCAGCAAAUAUGAGUUUUGGCUUCGGGAAGUCAAAUUUUUGGGACAUAUUAUCUCGGUGGAUGGCAUUCUAGUUGAUCCGAAUAAUAUUUCUACAGUUAUUGACUGGAAACCACCUAGAAAUGUAUCCGAAGUCAGAAGCUUUCUGGGAUUGGCUGGUUACUAUUGACGUUUCGUUAAAGGGUUCUCGAUAAUUGCUACACCAAUGAUCAGACUGCUACAGAAAGAUGUAAAGUUUAAAUGGUUUGAGAAAUGUCCAUAGAGUUUCGAUUAAUUGAAAGUAUUGUUAACUGAGGCACCAGUGGGGUAAAGAAUUUGUGAUUUACAGCGAUGCGUCAUUGAACAGUUUGGGUUGUGUGUUGAUGCAAGAGAGAAAAGUAAUAGCUUAUGCCUCCAAACAGUUGAAAUCGCAUGAAAAGAACUAUUUGAUGCACGAUUUAGAGUUAGCCGCUACAGUUUUUGCAUUGAAAAUUUGGCGUCAUCAUUUGUACUGUGAAAAAUGUUACAUCUUUACUGAUCAUAAGAGUUUAAAGAAUAUUAUGACUUAGAAAUAUUUAAAUUUGCGACAACGGAGAUGACUCAAGUUAUUAAAAUAUUACAAGUUAGUGAUUGAUUAUCAUUUGGGGAAAGCUAAUUUAGUCGCAGAUGUUUUGAGUAGAAAAUCCCUAUUUGCUUUAAGAGCGAUGAAUACGAGAUUUCCUAUGACUAAUGAUGGUUUGAUUUUAGCUGAGUUAAAGGCUAAACUGAUUUUUCUUCAGCAAAUUUGUGAAGCUCAAAAGUGCGAUACAGAGUUGCAAGUUAAAAGAAAACAAUGCGAGUUGAAUUGUGAUUCAGACUUUCAAAUCGGAGCUGAUGAUUGUUUAAUGUUUCGAAACAAAAUCUAUGUACUGAGGAAUUUUGAGCUCAUUUAGAAAAUUUUGCACAAAGCACACAGUGGAUGUUCUUCUGUUCACCCGAGAAGUACUAAAAUGUAUAAUGAUUUGAAACAAUUAUAUUGGUGGUCGGGCAUGAAACGAGAUAUUUUAAAAUUUGUAUCGAGGUGUUUGAUUUGUCAACAAGUGAAAGCCGAGCAUCAAGUACCUUUAGGUUUAUUACAGCUUGUGAUGAUACCAGAAUGGAAAUGAGAUAGAGUGACUAUAGAUUUCGUAUCGGGAUUACCCAUGUCUCUGAAAAAGAAAGAUACAAUUUGGGUUGCAUUGAUCGAUUGAUGAAAUCUGCACAUUUUAUUCUGAUACGUACUGAUUAUUCACUCGAUAGAUUAGCUGAAUUAUACAUUGCUGAAAUCAUUAGAUUUCAUGGGGUACCAAUUUCGAUUAUUUCAGAUAGAGAUCCGAGGUUUACGUUGCGGUUUUGGAAGAAAUUGCAAGAAGCUUUGGGUACGAAGUUGAAUUUUAGUAUAGCUUUUCAUCCACAAACCGAUAGUCAAUUUGAGAGAGUAAUUCAGAUUCUUGAAGACAUGCUCUGAUGUUGUGUUUUAGAGUUCGAGGGAAAUUGGGAGAAAUAUUUAUCGCUGGUUGAAUUUUCGUAUAAUAACAGCUUUCAAUUGAGCAUAAAGAUGGCACCGCAUGAAGCUUUGUGUGGUCGCAAAUGUAGUACUCCAUUGUACUGGACCGAGCUUAGUGAGAAACAGAUUCACGGGGUUGAUUUGGUUAGAGAAACUGAAGAAAAAGUGAAAGUAAUUCGUGAUUGUUUGAAAGCAGCUUCAUAUCGUUAGAAAUCGUAUGCGGAUUUGAAACGGAAAGAUAUUGAAUUUCAGAUUGAUAAUAAAGUAUUUCUAAAAGUAUCUCAGUAGAAGAAAAUACUUCGUUUUGGUCGCAAAGGCAAGUUGAGUUCGCUUUUUAUCGGAUGGUAUGAGAUCAUUGAAAGAAUAGGGCCAGUAGCAUGUCGAUUAGCCUUACCAUCGGAGUUAGAAAAAAUUCAUAAUGUAUUUCAUGGAUCGAUGUUGCACCGAUGAUCCAUCACAUGUGAUUUCUCCGUCAGAGAUUGAGAUUCAACUUGAUAUGACAUACAACGAAGAACCGAUCAGAAUUCUAGCACGUGAGGUUAAACAGUUGAAAAAUAAAAGCAUAGAUUUAGUGAAAGUAUUGUGGUAACGUCACAGUGUUGAAGAAGGUACGUGGUAGCCUGAGGAAGCUAUGAGAAAACAGUACCCUAACUUUUUCACUGGUAAGAUUUUCGGGGACGAAAAUCUCAAAGGGGGGAGAGUUGUAACAACCCAUUUUUGGUCAGAUUGGAACAGUAAUUUUGAGACCAUAAAUCUGAGGUUGAAAUAUUUAUUUUACUAUUAUUCUAAUGUUUACAGCAUGAAUAUGUAAUUUUGUGAAAGUUCCGUUUAGAAAUUUUAUCGUUUGGUUAGCCAAUUCGAUAAAAAGGACUAAAUCGCGUAAAGUGCAAAAGUACUAUUCUAAUAGUUAAAGGUAUCUAUUAGCUAUAAAACCUUAAAGUUAAGGUCCUUCAGUGAUAAUUAACCCAUUAGUGAGUUAAUGGAUGAUAAUGGUUUGGCAUGUAGUGAAAUAAAAAUAUUCAUUAAGGUUAUAUUUUUAAUUUGGUAAUUAAACAUAAAAUAAAUAAAACAAAAUGACAAAAUAGUCUCCAUAUUUCAUCUAGUCGAAAAUUUGAAGAAGAAAAAGCCAUGGAAAUAGCUUGAAACUUUCAGCCAUUGUUCUUGCUUAAUUAUAUGUUAUUUUUGACUCCGUUUUUAAUGAUUUCUACGUUUUUGAGAUUGUUGCAGCUAGGUCUAGCUAGACCAGGGGCUAUUUUGCAAAAUUGUUAAAGAUUUUGAAAGAAGUCACUGAUGAAUAUGUAUGAGUUUGAUGUUUGAUGAUAGAUUAUGAAUAUUUAUUAUGAAUUAUACAAUUUUAUAAAGUAAUUUUUAGUGUAAAUACAAAAUAGGGAUUAAAUUGAGAAAUGUCUAAAGUUAGUGGUUAAAAUGUGAAAUAAAUGAAAAAUAUGGGCUGCAAUGGGUUUAUUGUGAAUUUCAUUAAUUUUUGAUUUUAUGAAAUAAGGACUAAACUGUAAAAAAUGUAAAAUAUUAGAGGCAAAAGUGUAAAUGCGUUUCAAAGUGUGUUUUGGACUAAAUUGAAUAGAGAGAUGAUUAAAUAAGUUAAUUUUGAUUAUAUUUAGAUCAAAAUAGGAGAAAUACAGACUUGUAUCAGGAAAAAGAUAAAGUUAUCGACUAAUCGACUCAUUUUGUCGUUUACACAUCCUAGGUAAGUUCGUAUGUGAUAAAUUUCAAUACAAAUGUAUUCCAUAUACUUUGAUAUUGCAUAAAUUGCGAAUACGAGACUAAGGAUAUGAACGGUAGUGCUUCGACGAUGAUUCAACAUUCAAAAUCCCGGUUGAACCUUAGGAAUAGUUUAGGAUGCUAGUGACAGGUCAUUAGGGGAUAUAUUGAUUUGGCUUUGGGCCAUGAUAUAGCACUUUGGGUGUGAGGUAUACUGAUUUGGCUUCAGGCCAUGCAUAUCAGCUGAUUUGGCUUUGGGCCAUGAUAUUAGUAUUUUAGAUAAGUUACCUUGAUUUGGCUACAGGCAAUGGCAUAGGUACUUAUCGUGUGAGACCCUUAAGUAUCCGACUUUUAUUCCGAAUGGUUUAAUAGGUAAAUGAAAGAUGAGAAUGGUAUAAGAUCAUUAAGAGACGGUAUAGGUAUGUGCAUAUACCAUAUUAGCUAUGAAUCGAAGAAAUGUUAAAGAUAAUAUAUAACUUUGUGAAUGAGAAAUAAAAAGGUUUGUUAGUUUAUGUAAAUAUAUGUAUCUAUAUUCAAUUGUUGAAUUAUAUGUUUAUGAUUAUUAUCGAAUUUAUUUCAUAUGAGCUUACUAAGCUUUAAAGCUUACUUUGUUUAUUUUUCCUGUGUUUUAUAAUGUUAUCAAAGUUAGCUCGGAUUAGGGGAUUGCCCGAGAUCGCUUCACACUAUCCACCUAUCUUUUGGUACUUAUGAACUUUGGUAUUUUUAGUAUAUGGCAUGUAUAAGAACUUGGUCUUUUUGGUAUUGGUGUUGUUAGGAAUUUGGCCAUUUGUGUUGGCUUAUAAAAGUUGUGUUUAUAAUGUUGUAUAUGGCUACGUUAGUUGACUUAUUGGGUUUGGUUGGUGAUGUAUGUAUAUAGGUGUGCUAAUGCCAUUUUGUGUUGUGGUUUAUAUUGCUUGUAGAAGGGUUAAUUAUGGAUUAUUAGUUGGAGUAGCUAUUGGUUGAAUUUGAGAUUGGUAUACUUGUGGUUCUAUGUAAAUGAAUGGUUGAAAAUUUU